Malurus melanocephalus (red-backed fairy wren) is the source of this 394-nucleotide long non-coding RNA. RefSeq lists it as uncharacterized. Lineage: Eukaryota; Metazoa; Chordata; Aves; Passeriformes; Maluridae. The record is from RefSeq and is a predicted model, not a curated record. The transcript has 3 exons.
CUGCAGCUCCCAGCUGGACAACCACCCCAUCAUCGAUCUCAGAUUAUUCGUGUGGUGGCUUGCUUUCCUCCUCAUCUGGUUCCUUACAGAGUCCAUUUUAUCCCAGCAAUUAUCCAAACAAUGUCAACUGUGUGUGGGAAAUACAAGUAAAGAACAACUUCCUUGUCACACUUGUAUUUGAAGAUAUUCAGAUGGAAGGUGGCCAAUGCCUCUCUGACUACGUGGAAAUCUACGAUGGGCCCGUCCACACCUCUCCUCUCCUGGGGAAGAUUUGUUCUGGUUAUUACCACAGUUACACAUCUUCCUCAAACCUGCUGACUGUCCUCUUUCACAGUAACUCUCGAUACACAUACAGAGGGUUUCAGGCYUACUAUUACUCCACUCCAGCUGAUGA